Nemania abortiva is the source of this 90-nucleotide non-coding RNA. The record is from the annotation of a GenBank genome assembly. Lineage: Eukaryota; Fungi; Ascomycota; Sordariomycetes; Xylariales; Xylariaceae.
GGCCUCGUGGCCCAAUGGCAAGGCGUCUGACUACGAUGAUGAUCCAUCGAGAUAAUCAGGAGAUUCUGGGUUCGACCCCCAGCGAGGUCA